Molecule: unclassified non-coding RNA, 234 nt
Filed under: Acacia hylonoma
Lineage: Eukaryota; Viridiplantae; Streptophyta; Magnoliopsida; Fabales; Fabaceae
Description: partial external transcribed spacer
Source: RNAcentral
GUGGUGUUUGGAUCGUCCCUGCCGGCUGGCUCCGUGCCCGUCCACCGAACGGCCGGCAGGCGAUCCGCGUCGGUCGCGCGAGGUGGUAUGGUUCCCCAGAGGCCGGUUCUUGUGUUGCCUACCCUUCAGAGGGAAGCAGGCCUCCUGACGGUUGAAAGCCUCCAUCCGGCGCCCUCCAACGGGCGCAGGAGGACAACGUAGCACCCCCCGCGUUCCACCGAACCCUCGCCGGUG